Molecule: long non-coding RNA, 2022 nt
Filed under: Leptinotarsa decemlineata (Colorado potato beetle)
Lineage: Eukaryota; Metazoa; Arthropoda; Insecta; Coleoptera; Chrysomelidae
Description: uncharacterized LOC111505496
Source: RNAcentral
UAUAAUUGAAAUAUGUAAGAUAUAACCGUUUUUCAAGUGGUGGAUUUUAUUUCUAAUGUUCUCAACAAAAUUGUAAAUGGGCCAGUGUAAACCUGGCUUAUACAGGGUGAAUCUAGAAUGAUGUUAUUGAUUUCAGGUGGUGGCCUCGUUUCCGUGUAACGGGGUGUCAAAGUUUUGCUAAAAAUAUUGUUCCUUUAUUAAUAACUGACAAUUAUUUUUGCCGAUUUUGAUUAAACUACGCGUGUUUGUUGUGAGAAACAAGAGGUUUCUUUUCAUGAAAUUGGAUUUGUAGUUGUGGUUCCAGUGGCGUCGCAGAGGUUUACUUGAUUGAUAUUUAUGAUAAAAUACUUGUACGCCACUGUUUUCGCUGUUUGAUAUGAUUUGAACUAGCUAAACUUUAGUUUAGUCAGAGUCAGCGGGGUAGAAAUGGAGAUUUGAUAUUCGUCGCCAUUUGAACAAACUUUAAAAUGAAAAUAUGUUUGGAUAGUAGAUGGAAAACGUAUUCAAACUGCUAGUUAAUUCGUAUUUAAUUCGAAGAACAGCAUAGGUAAUAAUGAAAAAUGAUGAAAUCAGAUGCUCAAAAUGAGAACCUUGACUUGACAACUGGUGUCACAUAAACAAGUGAUUUAAGAUAUUCCCAAAAAAAAUUAUCCAAAAAGUUCAAGUCGAGAGAUCUAGGUGGCCAUGGUUGAGGUCCCCCACGACCUAUUCACUGGUGAGCAGAGGAAUCAGUAAGAUUCAAGAGCAGUUAUACUAAAAUGACCAGGUGGCCCGUCGUUCAUUAAUCGCAUAUUUCAUCUUACUAGCAAAGGUACAUCCUUUAACAAUUCUGGCGUCGUAUCUUCUAGGAAUUGUUUAUACCUCACACCGUUGAUUUCAAGGAUGAAGAAAAUACGGCUCUAUGAGAUUAUCGCCAAAAAUUCCCGCCCAGACGUUCACUGAAAAUUCCUGCUGAAAUCCACUUUCUAUAGUAAUAUGAGGGUUCUCGUAGGUCUGAGAAUGAUUUUUAUAAAAGUUUAUGACGGCAUCCCAUGAAGAACUUGCCUCAUCUGUGAAUGAAACUCCAUGAGUAAAAUUGGGAUUUUGUACAAUUCUUCAAACCACUGAUAAAAAUCCAAUCUUCUAGUAUUCUCCUAUGAUUGGUAUUAUUCUAUGUUCUUUUAUUCUUUAUUCAUACUGAAAUGCAAUCUUUCUAUAACAUUAAUCUUGCUACUUACUUCAAUACUUCUUUUUAUGAAAAUAUCAAACUUGGAGAAACACAGUGGCGUACAGUGAUUUUUAUCAUGAAUAUGAAUCAGCUAACCCUCUGUGAUGUCACUGGAAUUAUUAUACAUAAUGAAAGAUCAAUAUUUUCAGUAAAACUUUGACUUUCUAUUACUUGGAAACAUAUUAGGUUAGGACUCGCGUUCAUAUGAACUUUUUUUCAUAAAAUUUGACAAGAAAUCACCACAUGAAAUCAAUGACACAAUUUAAGAUACACCGUGUAUAUCAGAUUGAACUGGAUGUAUACAGUAUGACCAACCAUAAUAUCUAUAUUGUUUACUCUAUUUAAGGUCACUUGAAACUUACUCUAUUACUAGCCUGUAAAGAUCGAAAUUUUUAUGGAAUAACCUUAGAUUACGAGGAAUAUUGGUACAAAACUUAUUGAGCAUGGGUUGUCAUCUGUCAAAAAUAGAAUAAUUGGUUCGUUGCUAAUAUAGUCUAAGACGAUAGAUUGAGAUAGUCAUUAUUUUUUCAUGGUUGUAUUUCACCAACCUGAAUAUGUUGAAGAGUAUUCCAUCUUUGUAACAUUACAGAGAAAUUUGUAUAUGAAUUACCAAAAUAUAUCAAGAAUUAAUAGACUCUUUGGCAGUUGACAUACCUACUGUAUAUUACAGCCCUACAUAUAUUUUUGAAAAUGGUAUUUUAGGAGUGUUUAUGUAUAUUACAGUUAAAUAUUUUAUUAUAACUUACAUUUCAUAUGAUAUUGUUGUUUUUCUUGAGUUUCUGUUGAUUCAAGGUAAUAAACUUAAUGAAAAUCAA